RNAcentral lists this ribosomal RNA (837 nucleotides) under Triticum aestivum (bread wheat). Its description in RNAcentral is "partial small subunit ribosomal RNA". The record is from RNAcentral. Lineage: Eukaryota; Viridiplantae; Streptophyta; Magnoliopsida; Poales; Poaceae.
AUGGUGUUCUCGGACUCUCCGUGUGGCGACCUCAUUGCCGGCGUCGGCGCCAACGGACGGACCGUGCUCUACGACGGCACCGCGCUCUCCCGCGGCCCCGACAUGACCUCCGCCAAGCAUUUGGUGUUCCUAGUCCCCGUGGGCUGCCGCAUGUUCUUCGCCAUCUCCGCCUUCCCCGGAUACGACUUGGGACCCCGGUUCGAGACUCUACAGCAGCAGCCUAGCCCUGGCGGCGGCGGCAGUCGCUGGGCCUGGAGCGCCGUCCCGGACCCGGACCCACCGGGUCUUGCCUGCCGCCGGCCGGAAGUCAAGGCCUACUUUGUGUCGGGCGCACGCGUCUGGGUCUCCUUCCGCUACCGGGGCACCUACUCCUAUCACACGGCACACCGCCGGUGGCGCGCGGAGGGCGCCUGGCAGCUGCCCAUCCAUAGGAGGGGCGUGCUAGUCCCGGACUUCCUCGGCACCGGUCGGCGGCUGCUAUUCGGCAUUCAUUCGUUAGAUGGUCAUUACAAUGACAAUCCCUUUUGCGCCGUUGACAUGGACGCCAGGCCCCCGGCGGUCGUCGCGACCUGGCCGGAAGCAUACCCUUCUGAGCAGUUGUGGCGUGCUGGAUAUAGAACACGCGGGCAAUUGGCCGAGGUCGGAUACUAUGGAGGCGGUAGGUUUUGCCUCUGGGUGACCAAUCACGACAACACGAAAGCCAAGGCACAACGACGCAGCAUCCUCAGUUUCAUGGCUGUCCAGCUCUCCUCGGAGCUGCACCUGCUGGAGCACCAACCCAGUAACUACAUGCUACCCCUAAGCUCACGCCAUUUUCCUGCUGAUAUAAUAAUGUAG